GAAAAUUGUCCUUUCAACAAUUUCUAGCAUGCUAUUGACCCAUUAUGUCAUGUUUUUUUUUUUUUUUAAAUUUGGACAAAGGGAGUAGGUGAAAUGAUAAAUGGUGCACUUAUAGAUGAUAGUUUAAAAAAAAUUCCUAUAAGAAUAUUUAUAAGAAUCUUUUUGGUUAAAUAAUUUCUUUUGGCUUUCUAAAAUUUUGAUAUUGAUUUUUGCGACAAGGUUAACAAUAUUUGCCAAAGUAUUUAAUAACCACACUUUCUUUUCCUCAUACUCUUAGUACCCAUUUAUAGUUGAAGGUAAAGUAGUUAAAUAUAGGGAAACAUUCAUUAAACUUAAGCUACAAAUCCCCUUUAAAGCCUAGGCCAUCAUUGACUGCAACCCUUGCCCAUACACUCAAUCUCUAUGUUUCUUAAAUAAACUGUAUGUCACACACUUAAACCGACCCAAAACUUCAAAAGACAUGAUGAGAAAUAUGAACGAAUAACAGGGUAUUGGCAUGCAAGUAUGGAAAUUGGUUACAAAAUCCCAUGAAGUAUCUACAUACAAGAAUGGAAAAUUGAUUGGGAUUUACCAUAGAGAUGCUUUUUCCCUGACGGUCUCAAUCUGAACCACCCUUAUUCUUGGAGUCCAAAAGCGUUGCUUAUCAGAUUUUGUAGCAUCCCUCCGAGCAUCAACAUUGACUGGUUCAUCAAGGGGCUGGGAAGAAUUCUCCCUGAUAAUGAAGGGACGGAAACGGAAGAUGCCAGGUUCCAUUUUCGGAGGGGAGAAACCAGUGUCCCAAAGAGCAAUUUGUUUCCCUUGGAAGAGGAAACUUCAAUGGGCACAUUUUCUAUGAUCUCGUCCUCGAAGGGCCACACUGCUCUUGUUCCCGAAGAGAAGAGGGACCAGGGGGGAUUUCCAUGUUUGGAUCCACCAUACGAUCUCUGAUAGAAGAGGGAGCAAUGGGGAUUUUGACAUUUGGAUCCACCACAUGAGGAUGAUCCUCCACUCCAGAUUGGUGAAGGGACCGUAAUGUGGCUUGUUGUAAGUCCUCCAAACCUUUCAA
RNAcentral lists this long non-coding RNA (1045 nucleotides) under Amborella trichopoda. RNAcentral's name for it is "long non-coding RNA (ATRI_LNC004102)". The record is from RNAcentral. Lineage: Eukaryota; Viridiplantae; Streptophyta; Magnoliopsida; Amborellales; Amborellaceae.